AUACGCGACGAGACGGAGGGGGCGUCCCUUAGCCCUCCUCCGGCUCGUAGAGAUCAUCCCCGCGAUCACGCAUCAGGUCGGUCGCGACAAAGUCCAUCGCAUCCUCAGCGUCUUUGAAGCUGAGCUCCGACACCGUCUGGUUGCGGAUCGAGACGCCCGCCUUGUGGGUGCUCUCCGGAUCACCGGUGACCAGCGGAUGCCACAGCGGCAGGUCCUUGCCCUCGUGCAGCCGGCGAUAGGCGCAGGAGGGCGGCAUCCACUCCAGGUCCUCGAUAUUGUACGGCGUCAGCUUGAUGCAGUCAGGCACCGUCUUCUUGCGGUUCGGAUAGUCCUUGCAGCGGCAAAGGCGCUCGUCGAACAGCUGGCAGUGCACCCGCGUGGGGAUGAUUUCGCCGGUAUCUUCGUCUUCGAAGCGAACCAGGCAGCAAAGACCGCAGCCGUCGCAUAGGCUCUCCCACUCGGGGACGGUCAUUUCGGCGAGCGUCUUCGUCUGCCAGAAAGGUUUGCGUGGCGUCAUGACGCCGUCCUAAACCCGAUUUAUCCGGCGACCAAACAGAGCCUGACGCAAAC
This 570-nucleotide small RNA is filed under the name Caulobacter vibrioides NA1000. Its description in RNAcentral is "small non-coding RNA". Lineage: Bacteria; Pseudomonadati; Pseudomonadota; Alphaproteobacteria; Caulobacterales; Caulobacteraceae. The record is from RNAcentral.